This 265-nucleotide ribosomal RNA is filed under the name Triticum aestivum (bread wheat). RNAcentral describes it as "partial small subunit ribosomal RNA". Lineage: Eukaryota; Viridiplantae; Streptophyta; Magnoliopsida; Poales; Poaceae. The record is from RNAcentral.
UUGGCUUCAAUGAAUGUGCGCAAAUCUUCGAAUUCUGUAGAUUCAUGGUGCCGAGGUAUUACAAGGAGAACAUGCAUGCACAUCAGCGCUUGAAGUACAUACUCAAUGCCUUCAUCUAGUCACCCCCAAGAAGGGGACGACAGAGAGAAUAGUUUGUAAAGGAGUGUUGUUAGUGAUUUCUGUAUUAGUUUCUGCUGUGGAGAAAGCAAAUGGCUAUCUUCAGAACCAGUAGAGUGCUAGGGGUAUCUACAUACUUUCACAAGCU